GACGAACGCUGGCGGCGUGCUUAACACAUGCAAGUCGAACGGAAAGGCCCUGCUUGCCGGGUACUCGAGUGGCGAACGGGUAAGUAACACGUGGGUGAUCUGCCCUGCACUUCGGGAUAAGCCUGGGAAACUGGGUCUAAUACCGGAUAGGAGCCAUUUUUAGUGUGAUGGUUGGAAAGUUUUUUCGGUGUAGGAUGAGCUCGCGGCCUAUCAGCUUGUUGGUGGGGUAAUGGCCUACCAAGGCGGCGACGGGUAGCCGGCCUGAGAGGGUGGACGGCCACAUUGGGACUGAGAUACGGCCCAGACUCCUACGGGAGGCAGCAGUGGGGAAUAUUGCACAAUGGGCGCAAGCCUGAUGCAGCGACGCCGCGUGGGGGAUGACGGCCUUCGGGUUGUAAACUCCUUUCGCUAGGGACGAAGCUUUUGUGACGGUACCUAGAUAAGAAGCACCGGCUAACUACGUG
RNAcentral lists this ribosomal RNA (464 nucleotides) under uncultured bacterium. RNAcentral's name for it is "partial 16S ribosomal RNA". It matches the Rfam family "Bacterial small subunit ribosomal RNA", at positions 28 to 507 of the family's 1533-position model. The record is from RNAcentral.